RNAcentral lists this ribosomal RNA (2004 nucleotides) under Halieaceae bacterium UBA5721. Its description in RNAcentral is "bacterial LSU rRNA". It matches the Rfam family "Bacterial large subunit ribosomal RNA", at positions 15 to 2044 of the family's 2925-position model. The record is from RNAcentral. Lineage: Bacteria; Pseudomonadati; Pseudomonadota; Gammaproteobacteria; Cellvibrionales; Halieaceae.
AGCGCAUACGGUGGAUGCCUUGGCAGUCAGAGGCGAUGAAGGACGUAGUAGCCUGCGAAAAGCUUCGGGGAGUCGGCAAACAGACUUUGAUCCGGAGAUGUCCGAAUGGGGAAACCCACCUGGUGUAAGCCAGGUAUCCUUAACUGAAUACAUAGGUUAAGGAGGCGAACUCAGGGAACUGAAACAUCUAAGUACCUGAAGGAAAAGAAAUCAAUUGAGAUUCCCCCAGUAGCGGCGAGCGACCGGGGAGAAGCCUGCAAGUAAUAGCAGUGCGGUUAGUGGAACGGUCUGGAAAGUCCGGCGAUAGAGGGUGAUAGCCCCGUACACGAAAACUGCGUUGUGGUACUGAGCUUGCGACAAGUAGGUCGGGACACGUGUUAUCUUGACUGAAUAUGGGGGGACCAUCCUCCAAGGCUAAAUACUCCUGACUGACCGAUAGUGAACCAGUACCGUGAGGGAAAGGCGAAAAGAACCCCGGAGAGGGGAGUGAAAUAGAACCUGAAACCGUAUGCGUACAAGCAGUGGGAGCCCCUUCGUGGGGUGACUGCGUACCUUUUGUAUAAUGGGUCAGCGACUUAUUGUCUGUAGCAAGCUUAACCGAGUAGGGGAGGCGUAGGGAAACCGAGUCUUAAUAGGGCGUUUAGUUGCAGGCAAUAGACCCGAAACCGGGCGAUCUAUCCAUGGCCAGGUUGAAGGUUGAGUAACAUCAACUGGAGGACCGAACCCACGUAUGUUGAAAAAUGCGGGGAUGAGCUGUGGAUCGGAGUGAAAGGCUAAUCAAGCCCGGAGAUAGCUGGUUCUCCUCGAAAUCUAUUUAGGUAGAGCGUCGUGUCUUACCCUGGGGGGUAGAGCACUGUUUGGGCUAGGGGGUCAUCCCGACUUACCAACCCCAUGCAAACUCCGAAUACCCAGGAGUACAAUCACGGCAGGCAGACGGCGGGUGCUAACGUCCGUCGUCGAGAGGGCAACAACCCAGACCGCCAGCUAAGGUCCCCAAUACCAGUUAAGUGGGAAACGAUGUGGGAAGGCUUAGACAGCUAGGAGGUUGGCUUAGAAGCAGCCAUCCUUUAAAGAAAGCGUAAUAGCUCACUAGUCGAGUCGGCCUGCGCGGAAGAUUUAACGGGGCUAAACUGGUAACCGAAGCUGCGGAUGCGUGCUUGCACGCAUGGUAGAGGAGCGUUCUGUAAGCCGUUGAAGGUGAAUCGUGAGGUUUGCUGGAGGUAUCAGAAGUGCGAAUGCUGACAUGAGUAACGACAAGGGGGGUGAAAAACCUCCCCGCCGGAAGAUCAAGGUUUCCUGCGCAACGCUAAUCGGCGCAGGGUGAGUCGGCCCCUAAGGCGAGGGCGAAAGCCGUAGUCGAUGGGAAACGGGUUAAUAUUCCUGUACUUCUUCAUAAUGCGAUGGGGGGACGGAGAAGGCUAGGCCAGCGCGGCGAUGGUUGUCCGCGUUUAAGGCUGUAGGCUGGCUGCUUAGGUAAAUCCGGGCGGCUAAGGUCGAGAGCUGAUGACGAGUGCUACUGAGAGGUAGCGCGAAGUGGUUAAUGCCAUGCUUCCAAGAAAAGCCUCUAAGCUUCAGUUAUGAAGGAACCGUACUGUAAACCGACACAGGUGAUCAGGUAGAGAAUACCAAGGCGCUUGAGAGAACUCGGGUGAAGGAACUAGGCAAAAUGGUACCGUAACUUCGGGAGAAGGUACGCCGGUUUGGGUGAUGGGACUUGCUCCCUGAGCCUGGGCUGGCCGAAGUGACCAGGUGGCUGCGACUGUUUAUUAAAAACAUAGCACUCUGCAAACACGAAAGUGGACGUAUAGGGUGUGACGCCUGCCCGGUGCCGGAAGGUUAAUUGAUGGGGUUAGCUUCGGCGAAGCUCUUGAUCGAAGCCCCGGUAAACGGCGGCCGUAACUAUAACGGUCCUAAGGUAGCGAAAUUCCUUGUCGGGUAAGUUCCGACCUGCACGAAUGGCGGAACGACUUGCCCGCUGUCUCCAACAUAGACUCAGCGAAAUUG